GUAGGGUGCAGGCGUUAAUCGGAAUUACUGGGCGUAAAGCGUGCGCAGGCGGUUUGUUAAGACAGGUGUGAAAUCCCCGGGCUUAACCUGGGAACUGCGCUUGUUACUGGCAGACUCGAGUGUGGCAGAGGGGGGUGGAAUUCCAGGUGUAGCAGUGAAAUGCGUAGAGAUCUGGAGGAACACCGAUGGCGAAGGCAGCCCCCUGGGCUAACACUGACGCUCAUGCACGAAAGCGUGGGGAGCAAACAGGAUUAGAUACCCUGGUAGUCCACGCCCUAAACUAUGUCAACUAGUUGUCGGGGAAGCAAUUCCUUGGUAACGAAGCUAACGCGUGAAGUUGACCGCCUGGGGAGUACGGCCGCAAGGUUA
Molecule: ribosomal RNA, 369 nt
Filed under: uncultured bacterium
Lineage: Bacteria
Description: bacterial SSU rRNA
Rfam family: Bacterial small subunit ribosomal RNA
Source: RNAcentral